UAUUUACUCAUCUGUUCAGGAGCUCAUGCUAAUACUGUUACUUGACUCAACAUUUUGUGCCGUGACGCUCCCCUUCCGACCUGACAGAGCAUGAGAGGAUCUGCAGAGAAGAAUGGGAGGAACUCCCCAAAUACAGGUGUGCCAAGCUUGUAGCAUCAGACCCAAGAAGACUUGAGGCUGUAAUCGCUGCCAAAGGUGCUUCAACAAAGUACUCAGUAAAGGGUCUGAAUACUUAUGUAAAAUGUGACAUUUCAGUAGUUUUGGUUAUAUACACAUUUGCUGUACAAACCUGUUUUUGCUUUGUCAUUAUGGGGUAUUGUGUGUAGAUUGAUGAGGGAAAAAAACGAUUAACUUCCAUUUUCGAUUAAGGCUGUAACUUAAGAAAAUGUGGAAAAAGUCUCGUCAGGUUCCAUCUCUGAGCUAAUAGAGCACGUAGUACUUGGCACCAACCUUCCUCGCCCCACUGCUUCCCUCUACACUCAGCUCCUUGUCGGCGGUCAUCACUGCACCUGCCACCAUAAUGAAUUCACCCUCACUCUCGUCACAUUCACUUUCCUUCUCCAGAUCUCCCAGAAGGCCGGUGCAAUCCCCACUCCAUAUUUAUUUAGAAUAUGUUCCACUUUCCUCCUUUGUUUAUUUUUUUUAUCCUACCUCCAUUCAUCCCCACGCUGUGAUCUCACCGAGUCCCCCCUCAGCUGGUUGUCUAGGUCUUAAUUGACAGGAAAAACCCAAAAACUCGCAGAUCCUAGGCACUCUAUGGAAUGAGUUUGACACCCAUACCUUAGAAUGUCUGCCACUUGGCUUGACAGCUAUGUUGUUGACAGGUGAUUUUAUUGGGAGAAAUUGCCUUGAUAGUGAGAGGUUAUGAUAUCGGGUUGGUAGGCCUACUUGUGUUCAAAGUUUUGGGUGUCAGAGAUGUUAGGUCAUUGACGAUUAUUUGAAGAGUUUGAUCAACUUUGAAGAAAGGAAGUGUAGGGAGUGAUAGUAUGUGUUUUUCUGUUCCAGUUGAGUACUUGUGCAGAAGAGGGAAUAUCUGGAUGGUCAUGGAUGAGGAAUUCACUCCUUUAGACUCUCUGCUAGCUAUACACUCUCUCUCUCUCUCUCUCUCUCUCUCUCUCUAUCUAUCUCU
Long non-coding RNA from Oncorhynchus tshawytscha (Chinook salmon), 1129 nucleotides. The record is from Ensembl. NCBI's taxonomy places the organism in Eukaryota, Metazoa, Chordata, Actinopteri, Salmoniformes, Salmonidae.